This 497-nucleotide ribosomal RNA is filed under the name uncultured bacterium. Its description in RNAcentral is "partial 16S ribosomal RNA". It matches the Rfam family "Bacterial small subunit ribosomal RNA", at positions 28 to 507 of the family's 1533-position model. The record is from RNAcentral.
GAUGAACGCUGGCGGCGUGCCUAAUACAUGCAAGUCGAGCGAACGGACGAGAAGCUUGCUUCUCUGAUGUUAGCGGCGGACGGGUGAGUAACACGUGGAUAACCUACCUAUAAGACUGGGAUAACUUCGGGAAACCGGAGCUAAUACCGGAUGAUAUUUUGAACCGCAUGGUUCAAAAGUGAAAGACGGUCUUGCUGUCACUUAUAGAUGGAUCCGCGCUGCAUUAGCUAGUUGGUAAUGUAACGGCUUACCAAGGCAACGAUGCAUAGCCGACCUGAGAGGGUGAUCGGCCACACUGAAACUGAGACACGGUCCAGACUCCUACGGGAGGCAGCAGUAGGGAAUCUUCCGCAAUGGGCGAAAGCCUGACGGAGCAACGCCGCGUGAGUGAUGAAGGUCUUCGGAUCGUAAAACUCUGUUAUUAGGGAAGAACAUAUGUGUAAGUAACUGUGCACAUCUUGACGGUACCUAAUCAGAAAGCCACGGCUAACUACGUG